Molecule: ribosomal RNA, 495 nt
Filed under: uncultured bacterium
Lineage: Bacteria
Description: partial 16S ribosomal RNA
Rfam family: Bacterial small subunit ribosomal RNA
Source: RNAcentral
GACGAACGCUGGCGGCGUGCCUAAUACAUGCAAGUAGAACGCUGAAGGAGGAGCUUGCUCUUCUGGAUGAGUUGCGAACGGGUGAGUAACGCGUAGGUAACCUGCCUGGUAGCGGGGGAUAACUAUUGGAAACGAUAGCUAAUACCGCAUAAGAGUAGAUGUUGCAUGACAUUUGCUUAAAAGGUGCAAUUGCAUCACUACCAGAUGGACCUGCGUUGUAUUAGCUAGUUGGCGGGGUAACGGCUCACCAAGGCGACGAUACAUAGCCGACCUGAGAGGGUGAUCGGCCACACUGGGACUGAGACACGGCCCAGACUCCUACGGGAGGCAGCAGUAGGGAAUCUUCGGCAAUGGACGGAAGUCUGACCGAGCAACGCCGCGUGAGUGAAGAAGGUUUUCGGAUCGUAAAGCUCUGUUGUAAGAGAAGAACGAGUGUGAGAGUGGAAAGUUCACACUGUGACGGUAUCUUACCAGAAAGGGACGGCUAACUACGUG